AUUAGGUUUAAUGAGUUAUAAAAAAUUGACGAACAUGGGUUCUACUGAGAUUGUACAAGAAGAUACUGAAAUUUCUUUAUCUUUGAUUACAAGACUUUAUUACGCUGCACGAGAUGGAAUGGCUAUUGUAUUAUAUGGUCUUCUUAGUGAUAAACCACCAGGAAAAAUUGAUUAUCUUAUUAAUCAGAAAGUUUUGGAAGACGGACAAAAGUGUACACUUUUAAUAAUCGCAGCACGAUAUGGUCAUGUCAGGGUUGUCAAGACAUUGAUUGAUAAAUUUAAGCCUGAUCUCGAACAAGAAGGAAUUGUCAAAUUUGAUGGAUAUGUUAUCGAUGGAGCAACUGCCCUUUGGUGUGCCGCAGGGGCAGGCCAUUUGAAAACUGUUAAAACUCUUGUUAAAGCUGGAGCAGAUGUGAAUCAUCCGACUAAGACUAAUUCAACUCCUCUUCGAGCUGCAUGUUUUGAAGGACGAUUGGAUAUUGUUAAAUAUUUAAUAGACCAUGGUGCAAACAUACAUAUAUCUAAUAAAUUCAAUAAUACCUGUUUGAUGAUUGCAGCAAACAAUGGACAUUUGGAUGUUGUGAGUUUUCUUUUAAAAAAUAAUGCAGACCCUAACGAAAAAGCACUUUGUGGUAGAACAGCAUUACAUUUUGCAGCCGAGUGUGGUCAUACACAAAUAGUUUCUGAAUUAUUAAGUUAUGGUACAAAAAUAACAAAAAACGUCAGUGGUAUGACUCCUCUGAUAGCUGCUGCUGAACGAACGUGUACAUCCGUAGUAGAGUUCUUAGCAGCUCGUACAGAAGUAACAAAAAGAGAAGUAAUUGAUGCUUAUGAAUUACUUGGGGCAUCUUACGCAAAUGACAAAGAUUUGUACAACUUGACAUUAGCAUAUACAUAUUUACAUAAAGCAAUGGAGUUAAGAUAUAGCGAUCCUAAUGAUAUUGUACAUAAAGAAUUAGGUGAAACGGUGAAAGCAUAUGAACAUUGGAGAGAAUGUGAUACAUUAGAAAAAUUAGAAAAUAUUAAGAAUAAUCCCAAUUCGCUUCAUAUGGAAUCUCUUGCUAUUCGAGAAAGAAUACUAGGACCUGACAAUCCAGAAUUACCACAUCCUAUAAUAUUUAGGGGUGCUGUUUUUGCAGAUAAUGCAAGGUUUGACAGAUGUAUUGAUUUAUGGCUUCAUGCCUUAAAAUUAAGGCAGUUACAUAAUAUAUCUGCUGUGAAAGAUCUUCUUCGAUUUGCACAAGUUUUUUCUCAAAUGAUUCAUGUUGGAGUAGAUCCUGAUUUUUCUCAAGUUAUAAAUGUAUUAGAAGCAUGUGUUACAGAAUUGGGACGUAAUAAAAAUAAAAUGCACAAUCCGGAUCCUAUAGAUGGCAUUGACCAAUAUAUGGAAGAGAUGGAAUCAAACAUUACGACAACUUUAUAUAUUUUAACAAUUUUAAGUAAGUUAAUAACAUUAAAUGAAAAAUAUUAUAAUGAAGCUGACGUUUCUAAAGCUCGUUAUUUGGUACACAAAUUAUGUACAUUAAAAGUUAAAAUGAGGGAUGGCCAAACAUUUCUACAUCUUGCUGUUAAUUCUGAAACACCGGUUGAUGAUUUUCAUACUGAUGAUGUGUGCAAAUUUCCAUGUGCAGAUACAGCUAAGUUAUUAAUACAAUGUGGUGCAAAUGUUAAUGCAAUGGAUGACGAAAGAAAUACUCCUCUUCAUGUUAUUGUUUGCUAUAGGAGAGUGACUAAUGAUUUUAUGACACUUUAUUCGAUAAUUAUGGAAUUAAUUGAGGCUGGUGCACAUAUAGAUGCUGUAAAUAGUAAUGGAAAGACUCCAUAUGAAUCUGUAGCAACGGGCAUAGCCUACGAUAGGCCAUCCUAUGAUGUAUCUUAUGUAUAUAGAAAGUAUCAUAGCAAAGGACUGCCGAGGGACAGGCUAGCCAGUGAAAUCUAAGAACAGUGUAUUACUGAAAGCAUUGAGAGUAAACAUCGAAUACUCAAAGCAGCAGUGUGGCCGAAAUAUUACUGCGUACUCAUACAAAAUUAUCUUUAAAAUGUAUGGCAGCAAAAGCAGUGAAAACAUAUAACUUAUCUUAUUGUGGCAAUGUAC
RNAcentral lists this unclassified non-coding RNA (2095 nucleotides) under Polistes fuscatus (common paper wasp). RNAcentral describes it as "protein fem-1 homolog B-like, transcript variant X1". Lineage: Eukaryota; Metazoa; Arthropoda; Insecta; Hymenoptera; Vespidae. The record is from RNAcentral.